AAACACUUGAAAGAAAAAAAGAAUAGGUGAAAUGAGGGUUUCUUCCCUCUUCUGCUCGACGUUCUCACUCUUCUCUUUUACUCGCUCCAUUCUCUUCUUCACGGAACUUUGAUUUUCGUUUCUAAGUAGAAUCAUUUGAACCAUAACAAAGGCUUAGUUUUCCGAAUGGAGAAUAGAGGGUGGGUACGUGAUCCGACAAAAGAAAGUGAAGAAUAUAUUCGAAGGGUAAACGAAUUUCUUGAAUUUGCUUUUCAAAACUCAGCAGAAAAUGGGAAAAUAUUAUGUCCUUGUAUAAAAUGUGCUAACUGUGAUUCACAUUGUCGCUCAAGAGUUUAUGAACACUUAACUGAUCCGCGACGUGGAUUCCUUAGACGUUAUACACAGUGGAUAUUUCAUGGUGAGAGACCCACAACUUCAACUGGUACAACUGAACAACAUUUUGAAAUGGAGCAUGACAUGGAUGGGUUACUCCGUGAUGCUUUUGCAAUGCCUCAUGUAGAUGAGACAAUUUCUGGUGAAGAAGAAAGGAAUCCAGAAAUAGGAGAAAAUAUCAAGUUCUAAAAAUUGGUGAAAGAGAACAAAGUAGUUCUCUAUCCAAACUGUAAAAAGUAUAGCAAACUAUCAUUUAUGGUACAUUUGUAUCAUUAAAAAUGUCUUCAUGGGUGGAGUGACAAGUCCUUUUCUAUGCUCUUAGAUUUAUUGAGAGAUGCUCUACCAGAAGGAAAUGUUUUGCCAAAGACAUACUAUGACACAAAGAAGAUGAUUUCAGGGUUAGGUUUGGGGUAUGAAAAAAUUCAUGCUUGUCCUAAUGACUGCAUAUUGUAUUGGGAUAAACAUAUCAAGGAUGACGUAUGUCCAAAGUGUGGUACUUCAAGGUGGAAAACAACAAAUGAGGAUUGGAGUAUAUAAGAUUUAGUUGUUUAUUUUGUGUAGCUAAUUAUUUUUAAUGAAUUAUUAUAGAUUCAUCACUUGGAUGAACAAGGGAGCCCACAAAUUACUCAUGAACUUAGAUGGCUAGCGCGUGGACCAGUUGAGGUAGUAAGGAGACACACUGGUUACACCUUCAAUGGUUUUAGGUUUCACACUAGGAAAAGAGAGAGAUACUUAAAGACGCAAAAUUCUUGAGUAGUUGUAAGGACAAAUAACUCAAACGAUGAAGUUAAUUACUAUGGGGCAAUAACUGAUAUAGUACGAUUGGAUUAUUCUGGAAAGUACAAGGCUGUGUUAUUCAAAUGUGAUUGGAUUGAUAUCAAGAAAUGCGUCAAGAAAGAUAAGUUUGGGAUGACACUUGUGAAUUUCAAAUAUUUGAAACACACUGGAAAAAAUCUUUGGGAUGACCCGUUUGUUUUUGCAUCACAAGCCAAAAAGGUGUUUUAUGUAUAUGAUGAGAGAAACAAGGAUUGGUGUGUUACUCUAGAUGCAAAGGUAAGCGAUGUCUAUGAUAUGGGUGAAGAAGAUUCCAAUGAGGAUGAAGAAAUCAAUGAGCAACCAAUACACAACACAAGCGAAGCUACUCAAAAUGUUGAUGCUUUAAUUGCGGUUUCAGCUGCUGAAAAUGAUUUCAUUGAAGUUAAUGUUAAUAAUCAGAUUGAGGAAGAAGAGGAAGAUUGGGAGAAUAUGUUUUAAUUUUGAAUUAUUUUACACCUUUUGUAUACAACUGAACUUGACUUAUUAUGUUUAGUGAAUGCUUUAAUUCUAUAUUUUAUCAUUCCGUUUGUAUUUUGAUUCUUUAUUAUUAUACUUUCAUGCUAUAUUGUUAGCUUGUUAAUUAAAUGUAUUACAGCGAUGACAAGGAAGAGAAAAUUGAAUAUUGGGAGUCGUAAGUCAAAAGACUCAAACCCCAUCUCAUCCCAAGGAAGUAAUGCUCAAGAAACUCAUCCAACCUCAUCUCAUGCCCAAGGAAUUAAUGUUGAAGAAACUCAUUCAACCUCAUUUCAUGUCCAAGGAAGUAAUGUUGAAGAAACAAGGCCUAAUCCAAGUCAUGUGGAAGUUGGCAUACAUGAGUCUGAAGAUUCCUACUCUAUUCCUUUUGAUGUGGAAGCAGAAGAAGACCUACAAAUUAAUAAAGAUGUUCAACCUAAAAAAAAAGAGGUCCAACAAGAAUGUUAGAUGUAUGGGAAAUGGACACCGAGACUUGCAUAAUUGUUAAUUUGGAUAAGUAUAGUCGACCCAUUGGUCCCGAAGGUACGACUCUUACUCGUUUCAUAGGGAGUUUGGUUCGAAGGAAACAAUACGCUUCCAUUAAAUACAAGUCUUGGAAAGAUAUGUCGGACAAGGAAAAAGAUGAAAUGUUGGCACAAAUAGAGACCAUAUUUGAGUUCGUUCCUAUGAAUGACACUACAAAACAAAUGUUGAAACUUGAGAUGAAUAUCAAGUGGAAACAAUGGAAAUGUGAUUUAAAAGCAAAGGCAUUUGACCCAAGUAAAACAGAAGAAGAAGUUGCAUCUUUUAUACCAGAUUGUCGAGUUGACCUUGAUCAAUAUCGUGAAUUGGUUCAUCAUUGGUUUUCUGAAGAAGCACAAAAAGUAAGUAAAAUUAAUAGUCAGAAUUGUGCUAAAUAUGAAGAUAUUCAUUGUAUGGGUACAAAAAGCCUCCCAAAAUUGAUCAAUUAAAAGGAAAAAAAGGCCAAAGGAGUGUCGCCCACACGCAAAGAGAUUUACAUUGAUACCCGUACUCACAAAGAUGGUUUAGUUGUUAAUGAAAAGGCUGCAAGAUUGAUUGUAAUUUUUUCUUUCAUUCAUGCACUCUUUUUUAAUUCUAUGACUAGUAUAGCUUGUACAGCUUCCCUAAUGUUGCACAGCUUGUACAGCUUUGUUAUAAUAGCAUGCACUUUUUCUUUCAUUCAUCUCUUUUAAUUUAGUAUAAUAGUUAUACAGUUUGUACAGCUUCCCUAAUGUUGCAGCUUCCAUAAUUUUUCUAUAUGGAUCAAUAUUAUAAAAUUUUAAUAUUUAUAAUAAUUAAUACUAUUGCUAACAGUUUGUACACGAACUCUCCUAUCCUUCACAUAUGAUGUGAAAUCAACAUCAUAACUCUAGCUAGCUUUAAAUCUUGAUAUUAGGAUGGCCAUUUGAUUUGAUUUAAUGAGAUUGGAUAAUGUCUUAACUUCUUUGUUUCAUAUUUGACCUGUACAUGCAUACUUUUUAUAUGUAUUUGAGCAGUUUGUUUAUUUUGUAGCACCAAUGUAUUAUGAAUCUAUCAUCUAGGUGUGUGUCUAUGUUUCUAUUAUGUUUGACAAGUAUUGGUGUUUCUAUUAUGUUUCUGUUGGAAUAUAUUAUUUCUAUUUGUAUUAUUUCCCUAUUUGUAUUAUUUCCCUUUAUUCUCCAUUAAGGAGAGAAUUAAUAUCAUUAUUGUAUUACCAUUAUAUAUACCAGCCUAGAGCUGAGGAAUAAAAUACAACAGCUUUUUUACCAUUCCGUUCAAUAUGGUAUCAAGAGCUCUGGGUUAGGGUUUACUAUAAAGCUUCCAUUACAGCUUCCGAUUGACAUACCCGUUUAAUCCCCUAUGGCGAAUCACGGCACG
Long non-coding RNA from Vicia villosa (hairy vetch), 3519 nucleotides. RefSeq lists it as uncharacterized. The record is from RefSeq and is a predicted model, not a curated record. NCBI's taxonomy places the organism in Eukaryota, Viridiplantae, Streptophyta, Magnoliopsida, Fabales, Fabaceae. The transcript has 7 exons.